This 254-nucleotide ribosomal RNA is filed under the name uncultured bacterium. RNAcentral describes it as "partial 16S ribosomal RNA". It matches the Rfam family "Bacterial small subunit ribosomal RNA", at positions 524 to 776 of the family's 1533-position model. The record is from RNAcentral.
GACGUAGGGCGCGAGCGUUGUCCGGAUUUAUUGGGCGUAAAGAGCUCGUAGGCGGCUUGUCGCGUCGACUGUGAAAACCCGUGGCUCAACCAUGUGGUCUGCAGUCGAUACGGGCAGGCUAGAAUUCGGUAGGGGAGACUGGAAUUCCUGGUGUAGCGGUGAAAUGCGCAGAUAUCAGGAGGAACACCGGUGGCGAAGGCGGCAUCCUGGACCAAUAUUGACGCUGAGGAGCGAAAGCCAGGGGAGCAAACGGG